Molecule: long non-coding RNA, 492 nt
Organism: Silurus meridionalis
Lineage: Eukaryota; Metazoa; Chordata; Actinopteri; Siluriformes; Siluridae
Exons: 4
Source: RefSeq, a predicted model, not a curated record
AGGAAGAAGAAGGAAAGAGGAAGUUAGUUGUGCCUGUAUGUUUCCAGUGCAUUUUUUUCUCUUUAGUUUUGCAGCAAUGGUUAAAUCUGUUGGAGUUAAAAAUAAAUAAAUAAAAGUAAAUAACAGCAUUCAGACACAUUCAAUCGGUUCAUGUGUAAAUCCUGAGGCCUGGACUCUGAAGAAUAAGGGGAUAUCUGUGUUAUACCAUCUGUGUUAUACCAUACUAUUCACAAAGUGACCAUCAUCAUCAUCACAUCAUCAUCAUCAUCAGUCAUGAUCCCUCGUUUUCUCCUAAUGGUUCUGCGGGUUCUCCCCUGCUUUCAGUUCUUCACAAAGGCCGAGUACCCAAAUGUAUCAGACUAAUGCUGUUUCAGAUACCAGAGAAAUCCAAUCCCUAUCAGACUCAUUACAGGGUAUAAACUAUCAGACCAUCUGUGUUCAAAACCUGGAGUCAUCUUCACCCGUCAUGUGUGUGUAGAUCCUGAACUUGAG